This 253-nucleotide ribosomal RNA is filed under the name uncultured bacterium. Its description in RNAcentral is "partial 16S ribosomal RNA". It matches the Rfam family "Bacterial small subunit ribosomal RNA", at positions 524 to 776 of the family's 1533-position model. The record is from RNAcentral.
CACGUAGGUGGCGAGCGUUGUCCGGAUUUACUGGGCGUAAAGGGAGCGUAGGCGGACUUUUAAGUGAGAUGUGAAAUACUCGGGCUCAACUUGAGUGCUGCAUUUCAAACUGGAAGUCUAGAGUGCAGGAGAGGAGAAUGGAAUUCCUAGUGUAGCGGUGAAAUGCGUAGAGAUUAGGAAGAACACCAGUGGCGAAGGCGAUUCUCUGGACUGUAACUGACGCUGUGGCUCGAAAGCGUGGGGAGCAAACAGG